CUGUGGCCCUAUCGAAGUCGAUUUAGUCUGCACGUGGCUGAAUCGGUCAAUGUGGUGCCUACAGUGAAAUCUUUUACCGACGGUCGCUGUUUAGCUUUGUUGUAGCUUACCAGCAACACCAAAGGAAAAGGACAACA
Molecule: small nucleolar RNA, 137 nt
Organism: Alosa sapidissima (American shad)
Lineage: Eukaryota; Metazoa; Chordata; Actinopteri; Clupeiformes; Clupeidae
Source: RefSeq, a predicted model, not a curated record